UACAGAGGGUGCUAGCGUUGUUCGGAAUCACUGGGCGUAAAGGGAGCGUAGGCGGGUUUUUAAGUCAGGUGUUUAAUCCCGGGGCCCAACCCCGGACAGGCACUUGAAACUGGGAAUCUUGAAUAGUGGAGAGGUCGGUGGAAUUGGGGGUGUAGCGGUGGAAUGCGUAGAGAUCCCCAAGAACACCCGGUGCGAAGGCGGCCGACUGGACAAAUAUUGACGCUGAGGCUCGGAAGCAUGGGGAGCAAACAGG
Molecule: ribosomal RNA, 253 nt
Filed under: uncultured bacterium
Lineage: Bacteria
Description: partial 16S ribosomal RNA
Rfam family: Bacterial small subunit ribosomal RNA
Source: RNAcentral